Molecule: non-coding RNA, 90 nt
Filed under: fish gut metagenome
Description: Purine riboswitch
Rfam family: Purine riboswitch aptamer
About the family: Riboswitches are metabolite binding domains within certain messenger RNAs that serve as precision sensors for their corresponding targets.
Source: RNAcentral
AUCAAAUAAAAAAUUUACUCAUAUAUCCCCAUGAUAUGGUUGGGAGUUUCUACGGUUAACCUUAAAUUAGCCACUAGGAGUGAAUCAAAA